UCCGGUUGAUCCUGCCAGAGGCUACUGCUAUCGGGGUUCGAUUAAGCCAUGCGAGUUAAAUGUUCUUCGUGAACAUAGCGAACUGCUCAGUAACACGUGGAUAACCUACCCUUAGGACCGGAAUAACCCCGGGAAACUGGGGAUAAUACCGGAUAAGCCAUAGACGCUGGAAUGCCCUAUGGUUCAAAGCUCCGGCGCCUAAGGAUGGAUCUGCGGUCUAUCAGGUUGUAGUGGGUGUAACGUACCUACUAGCCGACGACGGAUACGGGUUGUGAGAGCAAGAGCCCGGAGAUGGAUUCUGAGACACGAAUCCAGGCCCUACGGGGUGCAGCAGGCGCGAACACUUUACAAUGCGGGAAACCGCGAUAAGGGAACCCCGAGUGCCAGCAUCAAAUGUUGGCUGUCCAGAUGAUUAAAAAUCAUUUGUUAGCAAGGGCCGGGCAAGACCGGUGCCAGCCGCCGCGGUAACACCGGCGGCCCGAGUGGUAGCCGUUUUUAUUGGGUCUAAAGGGUCCGUAGCCGGCCUGAUAAGUCCUUUGGGAAAUCUGGCAGCUUAACUGUCAGGCUUCUAAGGGAUACUGUCAGGCUUGGGACCGGAAGAGGUAAGGGGUACUCCAGGGGUAGGAGUGAAAUCUUGUAAUCCCUGGGGGACCAUCUGUGGCGAAGGCGCCUUACCAGAACGGGUCCGACGGUGAGGGACGAAAGCUAGGGGAGCAAACCGGAUUAGAUACCCGGGUAGUCCUAGCUGUAAACGAUGCUCGCUAGGUGUCAGACACGGUGCGACCGUGUUUGGUGCCGCAGGGAAGCCGUUAAGCGAGCCACCUGGGAAGUACGGUCGCAAGGCUGAAACUUAAAGGAAUUGGCGGGGGAGCAC
Molecule: ribosomal RNA, 874 nt
Filed under: uncultured archaeon
Lineage: Archaea
Description: bacterial SSU rRNA
Rfam family: Archaeal small subunit ribosomal RNA
Source: RNAcentral